RNAcentral lists this ribosomal RNA (433 nucleotides) under uncultured bacterium. RNAcentral's name for it is "partial 16S ribosomal RNA". It matches the Rfam family "Bacterial small subunit ribosomal RNA", at positions 29 to 507 of the family's 1533-position model. The record is from RNAcentral.
AACGAACGCUGGCGGCAGGCCUAACACAUGCAAGUCGAGCGCGCCCUUCGGGGUAAGUGGCGGAUGGGUGAGUAAAGCGUGGGAAGGGGGCCUUAUCUACGGAAAACCCUUGGGUAACGGAGAGUAAUAUCGGAAACGCCAUGUGGAGAAAGGAUAUAACUGAAUAGGAUCGGCCCGCGUUGGAUGAGGUAGUUGGUGGGGUAAUCGCCGACCAAGCCGACGAUCCAUAGCGGGUUUGAGAGGAUGAUCCGCCACACUGGGACUGAGACACGGCCCAGACUCCUACGGGAGGCAGCAGUGGGGAAUCUUGCACAAUCGCGGCAACCCUGAUCGAGCCAUGCCGCGUGAGUGAUGAAGUCCUUAGAGUUGUAAAGCUCUUUCAGCUGGGAAGAUACUGACGGUACCAGCAGAAGAAGCCCCGGCUAACUCCGUG